UAACCUCAAAAUAUUCUCGGCCCGAGGAUAUGAACGUCGGUCGAUCUCUUUUCGCCACUGCCGGUGCACACGUUAUUACCGUGGCAUCAUAGGAUACUGGAUAGAAUAUUGAUUGUUUUUUUUCGUCACCGCCAUAUCGAAUAGCCCAGUCAGCUACCGUAGAGCUAAUUGCUGACGCUCCCGGUGUACAUUUCGUUAACUAUUCGCCAACAAAAUCUGUUUAACUCGUUGUCGGUCACGAAUUAAAGAUACAUAAACGUAGAUAGAGUUUAUAUUAUCUGCGGAUACGAGUCGCGUUAUCUAUAGCCGGUAUAUCGAUUAUAUUGCCUACAUAUUAUAGAUUAUAGGAGAAAAUAAUUUGUUCGCUUGGCGCGCCCGCGAUCAGUUCCUCCAGACAUCGAUUCAGCUGAUGGACGGAUUCAGUCCGACGGUCACCUCGUCGUCCUAACCUGCCUUUGUCAUAAAC
Cinara cedri is the source of this 466-nucleotide non-coding RNA. Lineage: Eukaryota; Metazoa; Arthropoda; Insecta; Hemiptera; Aphididae. The record is from the annotation of a GenBank genome assembly.